Molecule: long non-coding RNA, 6604 nt
Organism: Mus musculus (house mouse)
Lineage: Eukaryota; Metazoa; Chordata; Mammalia; Rodentia; Muridae
Product: predicted gene 15624
Exons: 2
Source: RefSeq, a predicted model, not a curated record
GUAGAUGCACCAUUUCACAACUUCAGCAAAAGCCAAGGCAGCCAACAAAGGCUCAGCCACCUCAGCUGUGCCUCUGCCGCUUGGACGGCUCACCAGCCAGCCUCUGAAGCAGAUCAUGCCAUCCUUUCCUUUUUAAAACCCAUGUCAUCACCAGAUCAUAACGGAAAUCAAUCUCCUCAAACCAUCAUGCAAAGGCAAAGGCGUAUCCAUAGCAACCCCAAAGGAAGGACACAGAGAUGCUCCAGUGGCUGCAGCAAAAAAAAGAGACAGAGUCUGACAGCACUUAAAACUGAACAAAGCACUCAUUAAAAGGAAGCCACUAUCAUUAUGAUGAAGAUGAAGAAGCCUAUAAGCAUUGGACUCCAGCUCAGACAGGCUCCUCCACACUCCUGGGGCUUGUCUAAGGCUCUCUCUCCUUACUCUGAUCAACUGCAUCUAGCUUCUCUCACCAUAUCUAAGCACCUGUCCUGAUGGAGCUCACACUGGCCACCUACCCCUCAGCCAACAAUCUUGCAGAGAAAGGCAACUGAACUUCUUAGGUAAGAAUCCCUUUGCACACACCGCUGCCUCUUUCCUCCUGAAUCCAUCCCUCCUCCAUUCCUCUGCACCUCACCUCCUCUUCUGAGGACCUUCAUUUCAGUAGUACCCUCUGCUGGUUCUUACACAUCCCCACAAAAACCUGCCCUGGCCUCUUCAAUUCUAGGAACAACUAUUUCUAGUCCUUACCGUGUCCACAGAAUCUAUCCUUCCAUUGUCUGCCAAACUGUGAGUUUGUAGCCCUUAGUGCCAUCAAGCCCUGCAUCUCCACACUGCUCCGCUGGAGUUAGUCCCAUUUUCAGAGUGAAAGCAUGGUAACCAUGGCAUCUUGUUCCCCAACCCCCAGAUGUACUUGUCAAGCUCAUCCAGUGUGUCUAUCCUGAAGCAAAUGAAGAAGGGGGCUCCCUCUCGCCCUCGGAAUGUUCUUCUUCCCCACUUCCUGGGCAGCCUUGCUCACACGCACAACAAUCCCUCACUCCUCUGUCUGCCCCUGCCUUCUGUAAGUGUGGCAGGAAGAAUCCAUCCCCCCUUUACCAACUACCUUCUUCUACCAACCCUCAGCAGGGACGCUUCUGAAACUCAGACCCACAUUUGUACCGGGCUGCUGGACAUCACAGACCACUAAGGUUCAACAUGCCCCAGCAUGCCACAGUCUACCUAAGUUAGAUAACUGAGCCACUGUUAACAACCCCUUCUUAUUUGGUUAAUUCUGCCGCCACAGCCUCUCUCCGAUUCACGUGUCCUCUCCAUCCUGUUGGCCUAAUUUCACUUCAGCCUUAAAACACUUCUGUUACGGUAAGUCUCCCCAUUACAUUCUUUUUAAGUCUCCCAAUAUCCUGAGCUCAGACUCUACUCCUUCAGCUUCCUUCCACGGCCAGCUUCCCAAAACACAGUCAUGUUAUCCCUGCUUAAAGACUUCUUGUGCGGGCCAGGGAGGUGGCUCAAUAGGUAAAUGCCACCAAAUCUAACAACUUGAGUUUGAUUCCCAGGAUUAACAUGGUAGAAAGAACCAGCUCAUACAAGCAAUCUCUCUCUCUCUCUCUCACACAGAGAGAGAGAGAAUAUAUAUAAUAAAUUUUUUUUAUUAACUUCACUGUGAACAACAAUAACCCCUCCUUUGAUGCAUGCCAAAGCUCUCCCCUUCUGGCUGCUUGGAUCUACUUCAAGCCCUUUGCCCUGCAAAUAAAAAAAGAGUGUCACCUGGACCCCACUCUUCAUCCAUCACUACUUAGGUCAAUAGUCAUCUCCUUCCUGAAAUUCCCCAGCUUCUCCCUGGAGAGCCUGUUAUUUCCUUUCUGCCCUUGUAUAGACACCUUGGACAAAGUUUUGUUACAGCACCACACUUUACUGAAAAUACUGCCUACCAUCUUCUGUCCAACCUCCCCCUAAGAGGAGGAGGACCCCAAAGUGUCUAAGCACUGAGCACAGUGCCUUGCCCAGAGAGGGACAUAAUAGUCAAAAGUUAUUGUGCCAGCCGGGCUCCGGGCAUAAGAUCAGGGCCAGCCCAUAAAAGCAGAGCUGGAGAGCUGACUCAGAGGUUAAGACAGCAAUGUGCAACCGCAAAGGCCUAAGUUCAGGCUCGAGUACCCACUAGCAAGCUCAGCACUGUGAGGGAGAAGACAGUAUUGUCGGUGUUUGCUGGCUGCUUCAAGAGGCCCAUAGUGAGACUCUGUCUCAAACAAACAAACAAAACAAACAAAGGAAUAGAGUGUUAGAGAAAGCUUCCUUCUUUGACCUCCAGGGAUGUGCACAGGGACACACACUCAGACACAUAUGUGCAGAUAUCACACCACAUUCACACAUACCAAAAAACAAAAAACAAACAGGCUGGAGAGAUGGCUAGUUAAGAGCAAUGACUGCUCUUCCAGAGGUCCUGAGUUCACAACCAUCUGUAAUGGGAUCUGAUGCCCUCUUCUGGUGUGUCUAAAGAUAGCUACAGUGUACUCACAUACAUUCAAUAAUUCUUUAAAAAACAAACACCACAGGGUGGGGGGAAGUACACUUGUACAUACAUACCACACACACACACACACACACACACACAGAGCAGUGCAUGAAGCUCUUUCAGAUAAGCACCUAAACUCAUAUGCUUCCAUGGUAAAGGAACCACAGACCAGACAGGCUCUAAGUAAAAUGCAGAUCUUCUGAGAAGGAAUGUUCUUCAAAAGGCUCUAAGGGCACCAAAGCCCCGCUCUCUGCUGCAGAAAAGCAGAGAAAAGGUGAGGAUGCACACCUCAACUAAUGCCACUCAAUACCAAAAAAAAAUUAUCAAUAAGCCAAAGCCAGAAUCCCAAGAUGGCAAGGUCCCUAAGACACAUUUGCGUCAGGCAGUCUCUUACCUUGUCCUGGUCACACACUCCGAUUAACAAAGAUCACUGGAUUGAUAGACCACUGGCUCCCAGAACUAACUGCUGUACUGGGUGACGGAGGACACUGAGAACCCAGUUUCCAUCUCCCCUGAUUCGCAGACAUCUGCCAUCCCCUCCAUAACUCCCUAGCCUCUUAGCAGACCACGACAACUCCGAUCUUUGCUAACCUCCACCUCCAGGCAGCCACAACCACUGCUGGGGCUGCACAGAACCCAGAGGCAGCUGUGGACGCUCUUGCAAUUCUCCCAGCCCCUCUGACUCCUUCCGUUCAGUGUCUUCUCCUCUGCACCCUCACGUCCAGCCAGGCCUCAGUCACUACCCACACACCCUUCCUUUCUCCAUUCUUCCUAUCUGCCAUUCCAUAGCUUUGAAGAUUAGAGCAACUCAUUUCUUCUUUUUGGUGCUUCUCCAUCUGUUGCUUGUCCCACCUUACAGGAAAUUACAUCAAGUGAGAUCAUGCCCAAAAAAGCUCUGUGAUCUACACAGUUAAACAUAAAGCCAGGCGUUACUGUUCUAAUCGUCGGUCUAAAUUAUCGGUUUGCAUGCAAACUCCUGGCCUCUCCUCCCUCACUUCUGACCACUUUUGACAGCACAGUAAGGUGAAUACUUCUCAAGCGCUGCUCUCUUCACUGUCCAUCCACCACCUUCACCGCGAUCGUCUAACAGUCCCCGGUUCGGUGUGUGCAGUCUCCUCUGCCCCACCAAGGCUGUUCCCAGUGCUUUCUAUAGUCUUACACACCACGCCCACCCUUCAACGUCUAGCUAAUGCUCCACUACGUACAAACAGAGACAGAUUUAAGAACGAAUCUUCUUAAAUGUGAUGAAAGAAUUAAGCAUUGAUUCGGUUUGAAGAAAAACGCUGGGAAUAUCUGUCAUCUGAUGCUGGAAGAGGCAAUGUCCUCCUCAGCUUCCCUCAGUGUUUUUUGAGGCAGGGCCUCUGUAGCUGGGGCUAGCUUGAAACUCACUAAGUAGCCCAGACUGUCCCCAAACUCAAAGAAAUCUUCCUGUAUUUACCUCUCAGGGGCUAGGCUUAUAAACAGGUAUCACAAGCAUGGCUUAAAAGCCAACUUUCAGUUUUAUUCUUGUUUAAGUAGCCAUGGCUGUCCUGGAGUUCAAUAUGUAGAGUAAGCUAACCUCAAACUCACAGAGAUCUGCCUGCUUCUGCCUCCCGAGUGCUGGGAUUAAAGGUAUAUGCCACCUCACCUGGUAAGAGUUAACUUUUUUUGUUUGUUUGUGUUUUGAGACAGUCUGUCCAUGUAGCCCAAGCUGUCCUGGAACUCACUCUGGAGACCAGGAUGUACUCGAACUCACAGAGAUUCACUUACCUCUGCCUCCCAAGUGUUGGCAUUAAAGUUGAAUACUACAAAACCAGGCUCACUCCUGGUAGCUCCCAUUUUUAAUCCCAGCACUUGGGAGUCGGAUCUCUAAGUUCAAGGCUGCCUGGUCUACAGAGUGAGUUCCAGGACAGCCAGGACUACACAGAAAAACACUGUCUCAAAAAACAAAAACAGCACCCAAGUUGAGUGUUACCCACACCUGGAAAGUCAGCUUUUCCUUGGUUUAACUCUAAGAGAUAGCCUAGACAAGGACAGAUGCCACAGGGAGGCUUACACUAAGAAUCCUAGCAACUGGGGUGUUCAGGAGAAGCAGGCACUGAAGGCCAGUUGUGGCUACACAGGGAGUUUGAGGCCAGCCUCUAUCUCGGGGGGGGGGGGGGCAUAUUCAGUUAUUUCCCCAUUAUUAGAACUGUUCAAGCCUGAUUGCAAAAUUUGCCAAACUGACAAGAGUAUCACAUAUGGAGGUCAGCUACAGCAAAGGUGGCUGCGGUUAGAAGCCCAGCACUGAGAUGAGAGGAGGCUGAGAGGUCUUCUGGUCCUAACUCCUGGUUUAAGGGCUGGAUAAAGUAACUAACCCAGAGCAGUAGUUUGUUCUACAUAGCAGGUAGCAAAAUGUGCCUGUCAGCUAAGAUCUUGCCCCUGAACAGCAUCACCUGAGAACCUGUUACAAAUGCAGACUAGAUAAGAGCUAUAUUUCCACCAGACUCUAUUAAACACAUACCUCCAUUAAAGUAAAAACCACUGGCACACACUGCCCCUUUACAAUGGUGGGUUUCUACCUCGGGAACUUCAUUUCCAAAAACAGCACCAGACGUUAAGUAGACACGACCAAAACUCAAGCAAGCAAGCAAGCAAGCAAACAAACAAACAAAAAUCCAGUAUCUCCCUGUCUAUUUGGGGGAGAUUAUGCAUAUAUAUAUAUAUAUACAUACAUAUAUACACACACACACACACACACAUACAUACACACAUACAUACACACACAUACACAUGCCCUAGAGACUCUUGAGAAAUAUAUCCAGCAUACUAAAAGUUCUGAAAUAGUCUGCUGAGAAAACCUGAACUUUCAAAUAUAUAUAUGAAUGCAAAGCACCUUUUACAUAAUAAAGUUAUGGAGCUGAAGAGCUGGUUCAGUGGUUAAGAGCACCUACUGUUCUUACAGAGGACCUGACUUCAGUUACUAGAACUACAACUGGCUCUAACUCCAGCUGCAGGGGCCUGACAUUUCUGGUCCCUACACUCAUACAUAUUUUCCUAUUUUUUAGGUUAUCCUUAUCUGUUUAAAUACAGUACAAGAAGACAGGCUUUGACAGCACAGUAGGCUAAGGACGCCAAUUUCUGACACAGUUCUUCCAUUCUCAGUACCUUUUAAGUACACCAGGGUAACAAGGGGCCAGCAGCCGCUUGCAGCUCUCUGCGCUGCUGUAAAUGGAUUUCAGUCUAAAGACCUGCCUCUUUGAAAACAGCAAUUUCGCAUCUGUGUGCUUUAGCUGUCGUCCUGCUCAGUUACGAGAGGUGUGUGUACAAGACGACUACACAAGGAUCGUUUUGUAAGCCUAGUUGGACCCCAGGACAAGGCGUACUCACACAUCAAACGCAUUUCCAGACCCUCCACGUCUGAACCCUCUAGGAUUAAUUUUUGUCUUCGUUUAACACAAAUUCCUAAACACGUGCCCACAGAAAGCCUGCGCUCACUACGGUGUCACAGUAAGCAGGGGCCCCUCGCAAAUCUGAAGGAGAGUGGGCAAGCCUGGGAGAAGCGCUCAGCGGGGCCCCAGGCCUGCCCGGCCGCCCGCCCGGGUGCCACCCACCCUUCGAGCCCACCAAGUCCUAACCCCGAGUCCCCGCCAGCUCCGCGAGAGCUUCGGGGCAGCUCAGCAGACAGUCGGCGGGGUCGCCGCCCGCGUACCUGCUGUCAGGGCUCCGCGCCCCGAUCGGCCCCGCCGCCGCCCGCCGCUCCGGACUUGCUGCCCCGCCCCGCCCCGCCCCACGGACUGCCCUGCGCGCCGCCCGCUCCCGCAGUGAUCCCCAAAGCCCUCGGGUCCCAGAAAACUCUAGAUUUCUGUGAGCAGUCUCCUCAUUCCUGCUGCCUCGCCCUAGCUGACAAGGUCUCGCCAAGCGAGGCAGAGAAAACAUCGAUAAGGCACUGAGCUAGACACCUGCGGCAGGAUGCGUGCAUGUGUGCAUGCGCACGCGCACUACGUCUGGGAAGUGGAUUAGGACCGCGGUCGUGAGGCGGGGCGGGGUGAACGCCCUCUGCUGGAGGAGGAUCUUAGGGGAAGGAUUGGGAAUUUUGUUUUGAUCUCAAAAAGUGACAAUUAUGGCCUGGAGAUCGGGAGAAAUAAAUUAAGAUGUCCAUUC